AACGAACGCUGGCGGCAUGCCUAACACAUGCAAGUCGAACGAGACCUUCGGGUCUAGUGGCGCACGGGUGCGUAACGCGUGGGAACCUGCCCUUAGGUUCGGAAUAACUCCCCGAAAGGGGUGCUAAUACCGGAUAAUGUCUUCGGACCAAAGAUUUAUCGCCUUUGGAUGGGCCCGCGUUGGAUUAGCUAGUUGGUAGGGUAAAAGCCUACCAAGGCGACGAUCCAUAGCUGGUCUGAGAGGAUGAUCAGCCACACUGGGACUGAGACACGGCCCAGACUCCUACGGGAGGCAGCAGUGGGGAAUAUUGGACAAUGGGCGAAAGCCUGAUCCAGCAAUGCCGCGUGAGUGAUGAAGGCCUUAGGGUUGUAAAGCUCUUUUACCCGGGAUGAUAAUGACAGUACUGGGAGAAUAAGCACCGGCUAACUCCGUG
RNAcentral lists this ribosomal RNA (433 nucleotides) under uncultured bacterium. RNAcentral describes it as "partial 16S ribosomal RNA". It matches the Rfam family "Bacterial small subunit ribosomal RNA", at positions 29 to 507 of the family's 1533-position model. The record is from RNAcentral.